GAUGAACGCUGGCGGCGUGCCUAACACAUGCAAGUCGAACGGAGCUUUUAUGGAAUGCGACUUCGGUCAAAUGAAGUUUAAGCUUAGCGGCGGACGGGUGAGUAACGUGUGGGCAACCUGCCUCAUACAGUGGAAUAAUCAUUGGAAACGGUGACUAAUACCGCAUGUCACCACGGGAGGGCAUCCUCCUGUGAGAAAAGGAGCAAUCCGGUAUGAGAUGGGCCCGCAUCUGAUUAGCUAGUUGGUGAGGUAACGGCUCACCAAGGCGACGAUCUGUAGCCGAACUGAGAGGUUGAUCGGCCGCAUUGGGACUGAGACACGGCCCAGACUCCUACGGGAGGCAGCAGUGGGAAUAUUGCGCAAUGGGGGGAACCCUGACGCAGCAACGCCGCGUGCAGGAAGAAGGUCUUCGGAUUGUAAACUGUUGUCGCAAGGGAAGAAGACAGUGACGGUACCUUGUGAGAAAGUCACGGCUAACUACGUGCCAG
This 488-nucleotide ribosomal RNA is filed under the name uncultured bacterium. Its description in RNAcentral is "bacterial SSU rRNA". It matches the Rfam family "Bacterial small subunit ribosomal RNA", at positions 28 to 511 of the family's 1533-position model. The record is from RNAcentral.